UACGUAGGUGGCAAGCGUUGUCCGGAUUUACUGGGCGUAAAGCGUGCGCAGGCGGUUUCACAAGCUCGAUGUGAAAGCCCCGGGCUUAACCUGGGAAUGGCAUUGAGGACUGUGGAGCUCGAGUGCGGCAGAGGGAGGUGGAAUUCCACGUGUAGCAGUGAAAUGCGUAGAGAUGUGGAGGAACACCGAUGGCGAAGGCGGGUAGCUGGGCCGACACUGACGCUGAGGCGCGAAAGCGUGGGGAGCAAACAGG
Molecule: ribosomal RNA, 253 nt
Filed under: uncultured bacterium
Lineage: Bacteria
Description: partial 16S ribosomal RNA
Rfam family: Bacterial small subunit ribosomal RNA
Source: RNAcentral